GGCGAACGCUGGCGGCGAGCCUAACACAUGCAAGUCGAACGGAAGGGCCAUGAUUCUGUGGGGUGCUAGAGUGGCAAACGGGUGAGUAACACGUGAGUAACCUGCCCUUGAUUUUGGGAUAACUUCAGGAAACUGGACCUACUCCCGGAUAGGAGCUCCUGCUGCAUGGUGGGGGUUGGAACGUUUCGGCGGUUGGGGAUGGACGCGCGGCUUAUCAGCUUGUUGGUGGGGUAGUGGCAUACCAAGGCUGUGACGGGUGGCCGGCCUGAGAGGGUGACCGGCCACCAUAGGACUUGGAUACGGCCCAGACUCCUACGUGUGGCAGCGGACGGGAAGCUUGCACAGUGAUCCGAGGCCUGAUGCAGCAACGUCGCGUGUGGUAUGACGGCCUGCGGGUUGUGAACCGCGUUCGCCUGUGACGAAGCGUGAGUGACGGUAAUGGGUAAAUAAGCACCGGCUAACUACGUG
This 468-nucleotide ribosomal RNA is filed under the name uncultured bacterium. RNAcentral describes it as "partial 16S ribosomal RNA". It matches the Rfam family "Bacterial small subunit ribosomal RNA", at positions 28 to 507 of the family's 1533-position model. The record is from RNAcentral.